Molecule: ribosomal RNA, 372 nt
Filed under: uncultured organism
Description: partial 16S ribosomal RNA
Rfam family: Bacterial small subunit ribosomal RNA
Source: RNAcentral
GUAGGUGGCAAGCGUUAUCCGGAAUUAUUGGGCGUAAAGCGCGCGCAGGCGGUUUCUUAAGUCUGAUGUGAAAGCCCACGGCUCAACCGUGGAGGGUCAUUGGAAACUGGGGAACUUGAGUGCAGAAGAGAAAAGCGGAAUUCCACGUGUAGCGGUGAAAUGCGUAGAGAUGUGGAGGAACACCAGUGGCGAAGGCGGCUUUUUGGUCUGUAACUGACGCUGAGGCGCGAAAGCGUGGGGAGCAAACAGGGAUUAGAUACCCUGGUAGUCCACGCCGUAAACGAUGAGUGCUAAGUGUUAGAGGGUUUCCGCCCCUUUAGUGCUGCAGCUAACGCAUUAAGCACUCCGCCUGGGAGUACGGUCGCAAGACUG